Molecule: ribosomal RNA, 253 nt
Filed under: uncultured bacterium
Lineage: Bacteria
Description: partial 16S ribosomal RNA
Rfam family: Bacterial small subunit ribosomal RNA
Source: RNAcentral
AACGUAGGACGCAAGCGUUAUCCGGAAUUACUGGGCGUAAAGCGCGUGUAGGUGGUUUUAUAAGUCACUGUUGAAAGCUCCCGGCUAAACUGGGAGAGGUGCGGUGAGACUGUAGAGCUAGAGUUUGGGAGAGGGGUGCGGAAUUCCGGGUGUAGUGGUGAAAUGCGUAGAGAUCCGGAGGAACACCAGAGGCGAAGGCGGCACCCUGGCCUAAUACUGACACUGAGACGCGAAAGCCAGGGGAGCAAACGGG